RNAcentral lists this ribosomal RNA (429 nucleotides) under Chloroflexota bacterium. Its description in RNAcentral is "Chloroflexi bacterium partial 16S ribosomal RNA". It matches the Rfam family "Bacterial small subunit ribosomal RNA", at positions 355 to 776 of the family's 1533-position model. Lineage: Bacteria; Bacillati; Chloroflexota. The record is from RNAcentral.
UGGGGAAUAUUGCACAAUGGGCGCAAGCCUGAUGCAGCCAUGCCGCGUGUGUGAAGAAGGCCUUCGGGUUGUAAAGCACUUUCAGCGGGGAGGAAGGCGAUAAGGUUAAUAACCUUGUCGAUUGACGUUACCCGCAGAAGAAGCACCGGCUAACUCCGUGCCAGCAGCCGCGGUAAUACGGAGGGUGCAAGCGUUAAUCGGAAUUACUGGGCGUAAAGCGCACGCAGGCGGUCUGUCAAGUCGGAUGUGAAAUCCCCGGGCUCAACCUGGGAACUGCAGUCGAAACUAGCAGGCUGGAGUCGUGUAGAGGGGGGUAGAAUUCCAGGUGUAGCGGUGAAAUGCGUAGAGAUCUGGAGGAAUACCGGUGGCGAAGGCGGCCCCCUGGACAAAGACUGACGCUCAGGUGCGAAAGCGUGGGGAGCAAACAGG